GAGCCCGUAGCUCAGGUGGUAGAGCACGAGACUUUUAAUCUUGGGGUCGUGGGUUCGAGUCCCACCGGGCUCA
This 73-nucleotide transfer RNA is filed under the name Alphaproteobacteria bacterium. RNAcentral describes it as "tRNA-Lys". It matches the Rfam family "tRNA". Rfam says of the family: Transfer RNA (tRNA) molecules are approximately 80 nucleotides in length. Their secondary structure includes four short double-helical elements and three loops (D, anti-codon, and T loops). RNAcentral also lists the same sequence under 1 other name. Lineage: Bacteria; Pseudomonadati; Pseudomonadota; Alphaproteobacteria. The record is from RNAcentral.